UAGUCCACGCUGUAAACGAUGUCUACUAGCUGUUGGGUUCCUUGAGGACUUAGUGGCGCAGCUAACGCGAUAAGUAGACCGCCUGGGGAGUACGGCCGCAAGGUUAAAACUCAAAUGAAUUGACGGGGGCCCGCACAAGCGGUGGAGCAUGUGGUUUAAUUCGAAGCAACGCGCAGAACCUUACCUACCCUUGACAUGCCUGGCUAUAUGGAGAGAUCCAUAGUUCCUUCGGGACCAGUGCACAGGUGCUGCAUGGCUGUCGUCAGCCCGUGUCGUGAGAUGUUGGGUUAAGUCCCGCAACGAGCGCAACCCUCGCCUUUAGUUGCCAUCAUUUAGUUGGGCACUCUAGAGGAACCGCCGGUGAUAAGCCGGAGGAAGGUGGGGAUGACGUCAAGUCCUCAUGGCCCUUACGGGUAGGGCUACACACGUGCUACAAUGGCAGUGACAAUGGGUUAAUCCCUAAAAACUGUCUCAGUUCGGAUUGUUCUCUGCAACUCGAGAGC
RNAcentral lists this ribosomal RNA (503 nucleotides) under uncultured bacterium. RNAcentral's name for it is "bacterial SSU rRNA". It matches the Rfam family "Bacterial small subunit ribosomal RNA", at positions 791 to 1319 of the family's 1533-position model. The record is from RNAcentral.